Molecule: ribosomal RNA, 201 nt
Filed under: uncultured bacterium
Lineage: Bacteria
Description: partial 16S ribosomal RNA
Rfam family: Bacterial small subunit ribosomal RNA
Source: RNAcentral
UACGUAGGGGGCAAGCGUUGUCCGGAUUUAUUGGGCGUAAAGAGCGUGUAGGCGGUUUGGUAGGUCCGCUGUGAAAACUCGAGCUCAACCUCGAGACGCCGGUGGAAACCAUCAGACUAGAGUCCGGAAGAGGAGAGUGGAAUUCCUGGUGUAGCGGUGAAAUGCGCAGAUAUCAGGAAGAACACCCGUGGCUAAGGCGGC